ACAGGGUGACAGCCCCGUACACAAAAAUGCACAUGCUGUGAGCUCGAUGAGUAGGGCGGGACACGUGGUAUCCUGUCUGAAUAUGGGGGGACCAUCCUCCAAGGCUAAAUACUCCUGACUGACCGAUAGUGAACCAGUACCGUGAGGGAAAGGCGAAAAGAACCCCGGCGAGGGGAGUGAAAAAGAACCUGAAACCGUGUACGUACAAGCAGUGGGAGCACGCUUAGGCGUGUGACUGCGUACCUUUUGUAUAAUGGGUCAGCGACUUAUAUUCUGUAGCAAGGUUAACCGAAUAGGGGAGCCGAAGGGAAACCGAGUCUUAACUGGGCGUUAAGUUGCAGGGUAUAGACCCGAAACCCGGUGAUCUAGCCAUGGGCAGGUUGAAGGUUGGGUAACACUAACUGGAGGACCGAACCGACUAAUGUUGAAAAAUUAGCGGAUGACUUGUGGCUGGGGGUGAAAGGCCAAUCAAACCGGGAGAUAGCUGGUUCUCCCCGAAAGCUAUUUAGGUAGCGCCUCGUGAAUUCAUCUCCGGGGGUAGAGCACUGUUUCGGCAAGGGGGUCAUCCCGACUUACCAACCCGAUGCAAACUGCGAAUACCGGAGAAUGUUAUCACGGGAGACACACGGCGGGUGCUAACGUCCGUCGUGAAGAGGGAAACAACCCAGACCGCCAGCUAAGGUCCCAAAGUCAUGGUUAAGUGGGAAACGAUGUGGGAAGGCCCAGACAGCCAGGAUGUUGGCUUAGAAGCAGCCAUCAUUUAAAGAAAGCGUAAUAGCUCACUGGUCGAGUCGGCCUGCGCGGAAGAUGUAACGGGGCUAAACCAUGCACCGAAGCUGCGGCAGCGACGCUGAUGCGUUGUUGGGUAGGGGAGCGUUCUGUAAGCCUGUGAAGGUGUGCUGUGAGGCAUGCUGGAGGUAUCAGAAGUGCGAAUGCUGACAUAAGUAACGAUAAAGCGGGUGAAAAGCCCGCUCGCCGGAAGACCAAGGGUUCCUGUCCAACGUUAAUCGGGGCAGGGUGAGUCGACCCCUAAGGCGAGGCCGAAAGGCGUAGUCGAUGGGAAACAGGUUAAUAUUCCUGUACUUGGUGUUACUGCGAAGGGGGGACGGAGAAGGCUAUGUUGGCCGGGCGACGGUUGUCCCGGUUUAAGCGUGUAGGCUGGUUUUCCAGGCAAAUCCGGAAAAUCAAGGCUGAGGCGUGAUGACGAGGCACUACGGUGCUGAAGCAACAAAUGCCCUGCUUCCAGGAAAAGCCUCUAAGCAUCAGGUAACAUCAAAUCGUACCCCAAACCGACACAGGUGGUCAGGUAGAGAAUACCAAGGCGCUUGAGAGAACUCGGGUGAAGGAACUAGGCAAAAUGGUGCCGUAACUUCGGGAGAAGG
Molecule: ribosomal RNA, 1382 nt
Filed under: Escherichia coli
Lineage: Bacteria; Pseudomonadati; Pseudomonadota; Gammaproteobacteria; Enterobacterales; Enterobacteriaceae
Also listed under: 1 other name
Description: partial 23S ribosomal RNA
Rfam family: Bacterial large subunit ribosomal RNA
Source: RNAcentral